GGCGUUGUCGUCAGCUCGUGUCGUGAGAUGUUGGGUUAAGUCCCGCAACGAGCGCAACCCUUGUCUUUAGUUGCCAUCAUUUAGUUGGGCACUCUAAAGAGACUGCCGGUGUUAAACCGGAGGAAGGUGGGGACGACGUCAAGUCCUCAUGGCCUUUAUGCCCAGGGCUACACACGUGCUACAAUGGGCGGUACAAAGGGUCGCAAACCUGUGAAGGGGAGCUAAUCCCAAAAAGCCGUCCUCAGUUCGGAUCGGAGUCUGCAACUCGACUCCGUGAAGUUGGAAUCGCUAGUAAUCGUGGAUCAGCAUGCCACGGUGAAUACGUUCCCGGGCCUU
RNAcentral lists this ribosomal RNA (336 nucleotides) under uncultured Desulfobacca sp. RNAcentral's name for it is "bacterial SSU rRNA". It matches the Rfam family "Bacterial small subunit ribosomal RNA", at positions 1047 to 1382 of the family's 1533-position model. Lineage: Bacteria; Pseudomonadati; Thermodesulfobacteriota; Desulfobaccia; Desulfobaccales; Desulfobaccaceae. The record is from RNAcentral.